UCACCAAUCCAGCCCGGCUGGGUGUUGGGCGCCGCGGCUCCUCGCCGCCCGCCUCAAUGUCGCCGGCCACGCCGUCCGUCCCCUCGCGUUGUGGCAUCUUGUCUCGCGUCGGUGGCCGCUCGGAGUGCGCCGCUCAACCUCUUUUUUCA
Molecule: unclassified non-coding RNA, 149 nt
Filed under: uncultured Ramularia
Lineage: Eukaryota; Fungi; Ascomycota; Dothideomycetes; Mycosphaerellales; Mycosphaerellaceae
Description: sequence contains ITS2
Source: RNAcentral